UCCUAGCCUUUUAAUUGGAGGCCUGCAUGAAUGGCUUGACGAGCGCCCUGCUGUCUCUCUUCCCAUGAACUUUUAAAUUAACUUUCGCGUGCAAAGGCGCGAAUGGCUGAGUUAGACGAAAAGACCCUAUGCAUCUUUACUGAGAGAGAAGAAAGUUCUUUAGCUUGGUUUAGCUGGGGCAGCUGAGGAAAAGGCAAAAUUUCCUUAAUAUAAGUUAUACUGGUGGGUUUAGAUCCAGGCUCUUUAGCGGGCUUGACAAGUAGAAAAGUUACGCUAGGGAUAACAGCGUUAUCCUUCUGUGGAGGUCUUAUCUGCAGGAGGGAUUGCGACCUCGAUGUUGAAUUAGGGAUAUACCAGAAAGGCGCAGAAGCUUUUAUUGUGG
RNAcentral lists this ribosomal RNA (382 nucleotides) under Pinna nobilis. Its description in RNAcentral is "partial 16S ribosomal RNA". It matches the Rfam family "Bacterial large subunit ribosomal RNA", at positions 1966 to 2574 of the family's 2925-position model. The record is from RNAcentral. Lineage: Eukaryota; Metazoa; Mollusca; Bivalvia; Pterioida; Pinnidae.